GGGAAGGAGAAAGAUCCUGUCUGGUUCAGUUCCUACUAACCUCAGAGCUUCAAGGAAUGGGGAGGAGAAGGUGGAAAUAUCCAAGCUGGAUCAAUAAGUGCUACCUCUGUAAGAACCUGAUGCACUGAGGUCGGCACUGUUAUUGUCUCCAUGAGCAUGCCUCAGGCUUGCAACCACAUUGGUGGGAGUUGGACUUGAUGAUCCUUAUGGAUCCUUUCCAACUUGGGAUAUUCUAUGAUUCCAUGACUCUGUGAUUCACACUGAUCAAGUAUUAUAGGUUUAUUGCACGUUGUGCCUCCAUCAAAAAUGUGAACCCUGUUUUCAGCAGAGAACCAACAGCAACUGCAGUUACAUCAUGCUCAGAUAUGUUUGAAC
This 375-nucleotide long non-coding RNA is filed under the name Gallus gallus (chicken). The record is from RNAcentral. Lineage: Eukaryota; Metazoa; Chordata; Aves; Galliformes; Phasianidae.